AUGGACGGAUUCCUCCCAGGUCUGCGGAAGGCUCGGGUUGUUCCAGCCGGCUGGCGGUGGAAGAUGCCGGGAUGGAGUUCCUGCUUGAUGCCAUCGACCAGUUCCCGCUCUCGGUACGAGUUCGCGGACAGCUUGGAACAUCCAGAUCCGGUUCCUCUGGCGGUGCUGCCGCGGCGUGAUGCCUCCCCUGUUACCCCGGCGGAUUCAAUGCUGGCUCCGGGCUUACCAUCUAUGGUUCUUUACUGUAAAUUCAGAUUACGCGUCGGGAGUGCACCACAAGACAGAACGCCAGGUCCAUCCAAGAUGAGUGCGUUGGAGCAGUCAAUUCACAAGUACGCAGAGGAACCAAUGGAAAGUGUGCUGGAAAUUGGUUUCGGGAUAAGAAUGAAGUGGGCAAAACCAGACUUGAAAGGUGUUCUCUGCGCCAAGAUGACAAACACACAAUGCAGCGAGAGCGCGGAUCGCAUGUUGAAGACAUCUCCUGCUAGCCCGAUGCACAUUUUCGUUAGGCAGUACAUGAGGUUGCAGAUUGACUAUGAGCGUGAGGAAAGCUAUAAGGAGAAGAGGACCAUGAUUGUAAAUUCCCAAUUCUUCGUCAUAUGGUGUCCAAAGCUGAAUUUGUUGUUAAGAGAUUUAGCUGUUAGUUUGAAAUUGAGGUCGGAGAAGACACAGUUUGAACACCUUGUUCUCCUGGCAUGGAUCGUGGAUCCUUUUUUAGUGAGUAGCGCACCAUUAGCAGAGAAGAGGAAUGGUUUGGGUUUCGAGGACCGCUUGGCAAACUUGCCUGCUGGGAGAUUGCCUGGAAAUGGAGAGGUUGCCUUUGUUGGUGGCAACGAUGUUGACCAUAGGGACUAG
This 855-nucleotide ribosomal RNA is filed under the name Triticum aestivum (bread wheat). Its description in RNAcentral is "partial small subunit ribosomal RNA". The record is from RNAcentral. Lineage: Eukaryota; Viridiplantae; Streptophyta; Magnoliopsida; Poales; Poaceae.